This 468-nucleotide ribosomal RNA is filed under the name uncultured bacterium. RNAcentral describes it as "partial 16S ribosomal RNA". It matches the Rfam family "Bacterial small subunit ribosomal RNA", at positions 28 to 507 of the family's 1533-position model. The record is from RNAcentral.
GACGAACGCUGGCGGCGUGCUUAACACAUGCAAGUCGAACGGAAAGGCCCUGCUUUUGUGGGGGGCUCGAGUGGCGAACGGGUGAGUAACACGUGAGUAACCUGCCCUGGACUUUGGGAUAACUUCAGGAAACUGGGGCUAAUACCGGAUAGGAGCUCCUGCUGCAUGGUGGGGGUUGGAAAGUUUCGGCGGUUGGGGAUGGACUCGCGGCUUAUCAGCUUGUUGGUGGGGAGGUGGCUUACCAAGGCUUUGACGAGUAGCCGGCCUGAGAGGGUGACCGGCCACAUUGGGACUGAGAUACGGCCCAGACUCAUACGGGAGGCAGCAGUGGGGAAUAUUGCAUAAUGGGCGGAAGCCUGAUGCAGCAACGCCGCGUGCGGGAUAACGGCCUUCGGGUUGUAUACCGCUUUCGCCUGUGACGAAGAGUGAGUGACGGUAAUGGGUAAAGAAGCACCGGCUAACUACGUG